This 253-nucleotide ribosomal RNA is filed under the name uncultured bacterium. RNAcentral's name for it is "partial 16S ribosomal RNA". It matches the Rfam family "Bacterial small subunit ribosomal RNA", at positions 524 to 776 of the family's 1533-position model. The record is from RNAcentral.
UACAGAGGGUGCGAGCGUUAAUCGGAAUUACUGGGCGUAAAGCGUGUGCAGGCGGGGGUGUAAGUGGUGUAUGAAAUGUCCCGGCUCAACCGGGAGGGGUUAUGCCAGACUGCAUCUCUUGAGUGCGAGAGAGGAGCGUGGAAUUCCGGGUGUAGUGGUGAAAUGCGUAGAGAUCCGGAGGAACACCGACGGCGCAGGCAGCGUCCUGGCCGCUUGCUGACACUGAGGCACGAAAGCUGGGGGAGCAAACAGG